AUAGUUUGAAAGAUCAGAGGAAGAUGCCUCAUGGCCUUGCCAGAUUCUUCAAGAACGAACCCAGAGACGCUGUUGCUAUCUAUCUUCAGCGUCUGCUGGAUGAUGGUAUUGACAUCUCUGAUUUCAGCCUCGAUGACUGUCUGGACUCUGAAGAAGAUUUAGUCAGAUACAAGAGAGGUAUUUCUGAAAAGAAGAUAGCACCACCAGCAAAGAAGGCCAGACUUGAAGGAGCUUCUGGAAGCGGAUCUUCAGCUCCUCUGCAAUUUUCUACUGGUAAGUCUGUUCCUCCUGCUACCUCUGAAUUCAUGAUGGCUUCCUCUAAUCCUCUCUCUUCAC
Molecule: long non-coding RNA, 336 nt
Filed under: Lathyrus oleraceus (garden pea)
Lineage: Eukaryota; Viridiplantae; Streptophyta; Magnoliopsida; Fabales; Fabaceae
Description: Pisum sativum (pea) long non-coding RNA (PSAT_LNC009342)
Source: RNAcentral